Molecule: long non-coding RNA, 1709 nt
Organism: Trachemys scripta elegans
Lineage: Eukaryota; Metazoa; Chordata; Testudines; Emydidae
Exons: 3
Source: RefSeq, a predicted model, not a curated record
CCUUGAAAUUGUAGCACAUUUUGGCAAUGAGUUAUUGGUAUUUUCUUUCAGCUGAAGGAACCACAUAUAGUCUGGACCAUAAAGAUUCUGCCAGAGGUAAAAAUACAUACAAGGAGGUACCUUUGUUGGAUUUUCAAUAAAUUCACUUAAUUUUCAAAAGAAUGUUCUCCAGUGACACCUUUUUUAAAAGGGAUUGACCAAGCACAACACCUAGCACAACGUGUCCUGGUCCAUAAUUAGCAGUCCUAGCGCUACAGUAAUACAAACAACAAAUGGGUCAAAUGACUUUAUAUUGAUUUGGGAUGAGCUACUAAACCAGGACAACACCAUCAAGGAGUGUGAUGAGACUUUACAUAAAGAUUCUAUUCAAAGUUCAAAAGUGGUGAUGGAAAGAGUAUGGAGUCAUGCAAAUUUGGCCAAAGGAUCACACUGCAAAUGGGCCCAUGGAAAGUAACUGGUGGUAGAGAGUUAUUGACUUCAGCUAAGGAAGCAGGUAUUCAGCAUAUGGUUCAACAUGUCUUACAAAAACUGCUAUGGCAUGAGAUGUUUUGCACGAAGAUACUGGAAUUUUCCAGGCAAAGUUGCAAGAAGCCAUAAAGGAGACACCCUAUUUUCUCACUGGAUGCUGAGAAAGGACACCUCAGAUUCUGGCUGGACAUUUCAAAUCUUUAUCAGAACCAUGGGUCAGUUUCUGAUUGGUUCACAUCAGCUUUGCCAAAAAGAGGAUCCAGGCUAUGCCAUCCAGCAGAAAAAUGUACAAAAUACUGGGUUCAAUACAUCGUGCCCUGAAGCCAAAACAUCUGGAUGAGAGAGAUUGAACAGAUAUGUUAUUGUCUGGCCAGUGAGAGUGACCCUUCUGUUAACAACUAGUCUUGUUAUUGUCUAGAAGUUAUGCUAAAUCAAAAGUAACUGAGCGUUGAAGCAGGGGAAACUCAUUACACUAAUUAAAUCUAAUACUAUUUAGAAAAGAAAGUAGCAAGAGCUACUGCAAGAAACCUUGAGUCUUUCAGAGCUCUGUGGGAUUUUUAGGUUGAUUUUGGUCAAAAGAACUAACAGCUUCUUAGACAAAGAGGGAAAGGAGCUUUAAAUUGGCUUGCAAGCUAGAUAUUUAUCACUAUUUGAAUCUUUGGGGUAAAUUGGUAUAAGAGCUUGCAGUAUGGGAUAUGUUCUAGAGAAUUUUGAUGCUAUUCUACUUUACUACCUCCAUAUUUUGUUUUUGUUUAAUGUGUGAUAGUCUUGUACAAGUGACAAAGCUUGGCUGCGAGUAUUCAUUUGUCAAGGUAAUUUUGAACUGAAUUAACAUUCUUUGAUAAUUAAGUACCUUGUUUAAAGUUCUAGAUUCUACCGUAGAACUGUUUGGUUGAACUGACAUGAGCAGUGCCACCAUUCCACUGGCAGAUAAACUUGAUUGGAAUUAAGAAAGGAUCCAUAGUUCCAUGUUAGUACCAACAAAUCACCUGCCCAAACUGGUACUGAAGUAACACAGAAGUUUGCCUUUGUAAGAAGAUUGUGGUAAGAUGCUGAAUGAAUUAAACUGAUUUAUUAUCUCUGAAAAGAUGUAACAUCCCAUGUUGAGUUCAGAUUUUGACACUAAACUAUUAUCUAACCAUUCUUAAACUGUAGGUAAUUUUUUGUUUGCUUUAAAAGCUAUUUUGUCUAAUCAAAUAAAAAUAAUAAUGAUCCUGCCUAUAAUUUACUUAAGCUAAAAA